GUCUAGAGAAGAGAGCAGAGCAGAGAACAGAGUUCUUUGAGGUGCUGUUAGUUUAAUUUAAUUCUCUAAGCAGCCCAACAAGCAACUGUAAAUAAGAUAUAGAGGUAAGAAGAAAGUAUUACUUAUUAUUUUUCAUUUUAUUUGGGUUGUUACUUAUAGAACAACAAUUUAAAUACUGGCCAGAUUACAAAGUAAGUUAAAUUAAACCGGAUAUCUCUCUCAAGUAAGUAGUCAAUAUUUCAAAUGAAAAUGCUUAGCAAAUUUACAAUGUCUCAACUUCAUACAAUCUUUAAAAAGCUGGAAAUUUUAAAAGUUCUCAUUGACCAUUAAAUUAUUUUAAUUGCAAAGUUAAACAUACUCUUUCUUCGUAAGUUUGUACACAACUUACACUAAAAGAAUUUUUAUAUUAAUGAUAAAUUUUGAGAACUUUUUUCUUUCCCAGCUCCAGUAAAUUCUUAACGUUUGUAAAUUCUUAACGUUUGUAAAUUCUCCUACAUAUAUUGGUUUGUUAAUUUUGCAUAUUAUUAGUUGAACAUUUUCUGGGGAAAAGAUAUUCUUGCAUUUGUUUACUCACUGUGAAAAUGUAUUAUUUUAAAAGGACAUUUCAGUGUUAUUUUUCAUAUCAUCACAUUACAGUGAUAUUUAAAUACUUUAGAAAAGCAAUUUGUAGCGUAUAUGAUAUGAUCUAGAAAAAUGAAUUCAUGUU
RNAcentral lists this long non-coding RNA (706 nucleotides) under Bos taurus (domestic cattle). Its description in RNAcentral is "long non-coding RNA NONBTAT001293". The record is from RNAcentral. Lineage: Eukaryota; Metazoa; Chordata; Mammalia; Artiodactyla; Bovidae.